Molecule: ribosomal RNA, 2992 nt
Filed under: Salmonella enterica subsp. enterica serovar Typhimurium str. CFSAN000648
Lineage: Bacteria; Pseudomonadati; Pseudomonadota; Gammaproteobacteria; Enterobacterales; Enterobacteriaceae
Description: 23S ribosomal RNA
Rfam family: Bacterial large subunit ribosomal RNA
Source: RNAcentral
GGUUAAGCGACUAAGCGUACACGGUGGAUGCCCUGGCAGUCAGAGGCGAUGAAGGACGUGCUAAUCUGCGAUAAGCGCCGGUAAGGUGAUAUGAACCGUUAUAACCGGCGAUUUCCGAAUGGGGAAACCCAGUGUGAUUCGUCACACUAUCAUUAACUGAAUCCAUAGGUUAAUGAGGCGAACCGGGGGAACUGAAACAUCUAAGUACCCCGAGGAAAAGAAAUCAACCGAGAUUCCCCCAGUAGCGGCGAGCGAACGGGGAGGAGCCCAGAGCCUGAAUCAGCAUGUGUGUUAGUGGAAGCGUCUGGAAAGGCGCGCGAUACAGGGUGACAGCCCCGUACACAAAAGCGCAUGUGCUGUGAGCUCGAUGAGUAGGGCGGGACACGUGGUAUCCUGUCUGAAUAUGGGGGGACCAUCCUCCAAGGCUAAAUACUCCUGACUGACCGAUAGUGAACCAGUACCGUGAGGGAAAGGCGAAAAGAACCCCGGCGAGGGGAGUGAAAAAGAACCUGAAACCGUGUACGUACAAGCAGUGGGAGCACAGGUUUACCUGUGUGACUGCGUACCUUUUGUAUAAUGGGUCAGCGACUUAUAUUCUGUAGCAAGGUUAACCGUAUAGGGGAGCCGUAGGGAAACCGAGUCUUAACCGGGCGUUAAGUUGCAGGGUAUAGACCCGAAACCCGGUGAUCUAGCCAUGGGCAGGUUGAAGGUUGGGUAACACUAACUGGAGGACCGAACCGACUAAUGUUGAAAAAUUAGUGGAUGACCUGUGGCUGGGGGUGAAAGGCCAAUCAAACCGGGAGAUAGCUGGUUCUCCCCGAAAGCUAUUUAGGUAGCGCCUCGUGAAUUCAUCUCCGGGGGUAGAGCACUGUUUCGGCUAGGGGGCCAUCCCGGCUUACCAACCCGAUGCAAACUGCGAAUACCGGAGAAUGUUAUCACGGGAGACACACGGCGGGUGCUAACGUCCGUCGUGAAGAGGGAAACAACCCAGACCGCCAGCUAAGGUCCCAAAGUCAUGGUUAAGUGGGAAACGAUGUGGGAAGGCCCAGACAGCCAGGAUGUUGGCUUAGAAGCAGCCAUCAUUUAAAGAAAGCGUAAUAGCUCACUGGUCGAGUCGGCCUGCGCGGAAGAUGUAACGGGGCUAAACCAUGCACCGAAGCUGCGGCAGCGAACGUAUCACCCAAGACAACUUUACGGAGUUGACGAUUGACGGAGCGAAGCGACGUCAAAGCGUUCAUUAAAGUCGAGUUGGCUUAGGGAUACGUUCGUUGGGUAGGGGAGCGUUCUGUAAGCCUGUGAAGGUGUGUCGUGAGGCAUGCUGGAGGUAUCAGAAGUGCGAAUGCUGACAUAAGUAACGAUAAAGCGGGUGAAAAGCCCGCUCGCCGGAAGACCAAGGGUUCCUGUCCAACGUUAAUCGGGGCAGGGUGAGUCGACCCCUAAGGCGAGGCCGAAAGGCGUAGUCGAUGGGAAACGGGUUAAUAUUCCCGUACUUGGUGUUACUGCGAAGGGGGGACGGAGAAGGCUAUGUUGGCCGGGCGACGGUUGUCCCGGUUUAAGCGUGUAGGUGUGUGUUCCAGGUAAAUCCGGUUCACUUUAACACUGAGGCGUGACGACGAGGCACUACGGUGCUGAAGCAACAAAUGCCCUGCUUCCAGGAAAAGCCUCUAAGCAUCAGGUAACACGAAAUCGUACCCCAAACCGACACAGGUGGUCAGGUAGAGAAUACCAAGGCGCUUGAGAGAACUCGGGUGAAGGAACUAGGCAAAAUGGUGCCGUAACUUCGGGAGAAGGCACGCUGACACGUAGGUGAAGUGAUUUACUCAUGGAGCUGAAGUCAGUCGAAGAUACCAGCUGGCUGCAACUGUUUAUUAAAAACACAGCACUGUGCAAACACGAAAGUGGACGUAUACGGUGUGACGCCUGCCCGGUGCCGGAAGGUUAAUUGAUGGGGUCAGCGCAAGCGAAGCUCCUGAUCGAAGCCCCGGUAAACGGCGGCCGUAACUAUAACGGUCCUAAGGUAGCGAAAUUCCUUGUCGGGUAAGUUCCGACCUGCACGAAUGGCGUAAUGAUGGCCAGGCUGUCUCCACCCGAGACUCAGUGAAAUUGAACUCGCUGUGAAGAUGCAGUGUACCCGCGGCAAGACGGAAAGACCCCGUGAACCUUUACUAUAGCUUGACACUGAACAUUGAGCCUUGAUGUGUAGGAUAGGUGGGAGGCUUUGAAGUGUGGACGCCAGUCUGCAUGGAGCCGACCUUGAAAUACCACCCUUUAAUGUUUGAUGUUCUAACGUGGACCCGUAAUCCGGGUUGCGGACAGUGUCUGGUGGGUAGUUUGACUGGGGCGGUCUCCUCCUAAAGAGUAACGGAGGAGCACGAAGGUUGGCUAAUCCUGGUCGGACAUCAGGAGGUUAGUGCAAUGGCAUAAGCCAGCUUGACUGCGAGCGUGACGGCGCGAGCAGGUGCGAAAGCAGGUCAUAGUGAUCCGGUGGUUCUGAAUGGAAGGGCCAUCGCUCAACGGAUAAAAGGUACUCCGGGGAUAACAGGCUGAUACCGCCCAAGAGUUCAUAUCGACGGCGGUGUUUGGCACCUCGAUGUCGGCUCAUCACAUCCUGGGGCUGAAGUAGGUCCCAAGGGUAUGGCUGUUCGCCAUUUAAAGUGGUACGCGAGCUGGGUUUAGAACGUCGUGAGACAGUUCGGUCCCUAUCUGCCGUGGGCGCUGGAGAACUGAGGGGGGCUGCUCCUAGUACGAGAGGACCGGAGUGGACGCAUCACUGGUGUUCGGGUUGUCAUGCCAAUGGCACUGCCCGGUAGCUAAAUGCGGAAGAGAUAAGUGCUGAAAGCAUCUAAGCACGAAACUUGCCCCGAGAUGAGUUCUCCCUGAGACUUAGAGUCUCCUGAAGGAACGUUGAAGACGACGACGUUGAUAGGCCGGGUGUGUAAGCGCAGCGAUGCGUUGAGCUAACCGGUACUAAUGAACCGUGAGGCUUAACCUU